GAUGAACGCUAGCGGCAGGCUUAAUACAUGCAAGUUGAGGGGCAGCAUGAUAUACGCGAGUAUAUUGAUGGCGACCGGCGGACGGGUGAGUAAUAGGUAGGAGACCUACCUCAUACAGGGGGAUAGCAUAGAGAAAUCUGUGGUAAUACCCCAUGAGGUUAUAUGAAUAGAGGCAUAUAAUCAAAGCAUAAGCGAUUAUGCGGUAUGAGAGGGGCCUACUGACCAUUAGCUAGUUGGUGAGGUAAGGGCUCACCAAGGCGAAGAUGGUUAGGGGUUUUGAGAGAGAGACCCCCCACAUUGGAACUGAGAGACGGUCCAGACUCCUACGGGAGGCAGCAGUAGGGAAUAUUGGGCAAUGGGCGAAAGCCUGACCCAGCCAUGCCGCGUGAAGGAAGACGGCCUUAUGGGUUGUAAACUUCUUUACUACGCGAAUAGAGGUUAGUACGAGAUACUAAUAGGAAGGUAGUGUAGUAAAAGACCGGCUAACUCCGUG
Molecule: ribosomal RNA, 493 nt
Filed under: uncultured bacterium
Lineage: Bacteria
Description: bacterial SSU rRNA
Rfam family: Bacterial small subunit ribosomal RNA
Source: RNAcentral